CAGCACCUCAAGUGGUCAGGAUGAUUAUUGGGCCUAAAGCAUCCGUAGCCGGCGCUGUAAGUUUUCGGUUAAAUCUGUACGCUCAACGUACAGGCUGCCGGGAAUACUGCAGCGCUAGGGAGUGGGAGAGGUAGACGGUACUCGGUAGGAAGGGGUAAAAUCCUUUGAUCUAUUGGUGACCACCUGUGGCGAAGGCGGUCUACCAGAACACGUCCGACGGUGAGGGAUGAAAGCUGGGGGAGCAAACCGGAUUAGAUACCCGAGUAGUCC
This 270-nucleotide ribosomal RNA is filed under the name uncultured archaeon. RNAcentral's name for it is "partial 16S ribosomal RNA". It matches the Rfam family "Archaeal small subunit ribosomal RNA", at positions 477 to 747 of the family's 1478-position model. The record is from RNAcentral.